AGCAACUUUCUGCUCACAAUUUUGGCAGUCACCGAUUCCUAGCGGUCAGUGGGCGGUGGGGGACGAUUUUGCUAGCCAGAAAUUUCUGCUCACAAUAUUGGCACUCACCGAUUCUUAGCGUAUAUUCUCGAAAAGUUGAAACUUGUUGAAGAAAGGCAAAUGGAAGGAAGGGACUCACUUUGUUAUCUCUAAGCAGGUUUAUAUCAAUCAGUUUGCAUUACAAUUGUCAAAGGAAUUUAGCUUCUUAGAUUCCAGUUAGGAAGAAAGACUUUGGAUAGUGGACGUCGAUUUUAGUGCUGAACCACUAUAAAUCUUCUUUUUAAUUUUACUGCAUUUUGUUUA
This is a long non-coding RNA of Coffea eugenioides, 342 nucleotides long. RefSeq lists it as uncharacterized. The transcript has 2 exons. Lineage: Eukaryota; Viridiplantae; Streptophyta; Magnoliopsida; Gentianales; Rubiaceae. The record is from RefSeq and is a predicted model, not a curated record.